This 301-nucleotide ribosomal RNA is filed under the name uncultured bacterium. Its description in RNAcentral is "partial 16S ribosomal RNA". It matches the Rfam family "Bacterial small subunit ribosomal RNA", at positions 509 to 807 of the family's 1533-position model. The record is from RNAcentral.
CAGUAGCCACGGGAACACGAAGGGUGCAAGCGUUACUCGGAAUUACUGGGCGUAAAGCGUGCGUAGGUGGUGGUUUAAGUCCGUUGUGAAAGCCCUGGGCUCAACCUGGGAAUUGCAGUGGAUACUGGGUCACUAGAGUGUGGUAGAGGAUAGUGGAAUUUCCGGCGUAGCGGUGAAAUGCGUAGAUAUAGGAAGGAACACCAGUGGCGAAGGCGACCACCUGGGCUCAUACUGACACUGAGGUGCGAAAGCGUGGGGAGCAAACAGGAUUAGAUACCCCUGUAGUCCCUGUCUCUUAUAC